GAUGAACGCUGGCGGCGUGCCUAAUACAUGCAAGUCGAGCGAACAGACGAGGAGCUUGCUCCUCUGACGUUAGCGGCGGACGGGUGAGUAACACGUGGAUAACCUACUUAUAAUUCUGGGAUAACUUCGGGAAACCGGAGCCACUACCGGCUAAUAUAUUCUACCGCAUGGAUCAAUAGUUAAAGACGGUUUUGCUGUCACUUAUAGCUGGUUCCGCGCUGCAUUAGCUAGUUGGUAAGGUAACGGCGUACCAAGGCGACGAUGCGUAGCCGACCUGAGAGGAUGAUCGGCCACACUGGAACUGAGACACGGUCCAGACUCCUACGGGAGGCAGCAGUAGGGAAUCUUCGGCAAUGGGCGAAAGCCUGACGGAGCAAUGCCGCGUGAGUGAUGAAGGUCUUCGGAUCGUAAAACUCUGUUAUUAGGGAAGAACAGAUGUGUGAGUAACUAUGCACGUCUUGACGGUACCUAAACAGAAAGCCACGGCUAACUACGUG
Molecule: ribosomal RNA, 497 nt
Filed under: uncultured bacterium
Lineage: Bacteria
Description: partial 16S ribosomal RNA
Rfam family: Bacterial small subunit ribosomal RNA
Source: RNAcentral